This 497-nucleotide ribosomal RNA is filed under the name uncultured bacterium. RNAcentral's name for it is "partial 16S ribosomal RNA". It matches the Rfam family "Bacterial small subunit ribosomal RNA", at positions 28 to 507 of the family's 1533-position model. The record is from RNAcentral.
GAUGAACGCUGGCGGCGUGCCUAAUUCAUGCAAGUCGAGCGAACAGACGAGGAGCUUGCUCCUCUGACGUUAGCGGCGGACGGGUGAGUAACACGUGGAUAACCUACCUAUAAGACUGGGAUAACUUCGGGAAACCGGAGCUAAUACCGGAUAAUAUAUUGAACCGCAUGGUUCAAUAGUGAAAGACGGUUUUGCUGUCACUUAUAGAUGGAUCCGCGCCGCAUUAGCUAGUUGGUAAGGUAACGGCUUACCAAGGCAACGAUGCGUAGCCGACCUGAGAGGGUGAUCGGCCACACUGGAACUGAGACACGGUCCAGACUCCUACGGGAGGCAGCAGUAGGGAAUCUGCCGCAAUGGGCGAAAGCCUGACGGAGCAACGCCGCGUGAGUGAUGAAGGUCUUCGGAUCGUAAAACUCUGUUAUUAGGGAAGAACAAAUGUGUAAGUAACUAUGCACGUCUUGACGGUACCUAAUCAGAAAGCCACGGCUAACUACGUG